This 757-nucleotide ribosomal RNA is filed under the name uncultured archaeon. RNAcentral's name for it is "bacterial SSU rRNA". It matches the Rfam family "Archaeal small subunit ribosomal RNA", at positions 1 to 766 of the family's 1478-position model. The record is from RNAcentral.
UUCCGGUUGAUCCUGCCGGACCUGACUGCUAUCGGAUUGAUACUAAGCCAUGCGAGUCAUUGUAGCAAUACAAGGCAGACGGCUCAGUAACGCGUAGUCAACCUACCCUAUGGACGGGGAUAACCUCGGGAAACUGAGAAUAAUACCCGAUAGAACAUUAUACCUGGAAUGGUUUAUGUUUCAAAUAAUUUAUUGCCGUAGGAUGGGACUGCGGCCUAUCAGUUUGUUGGUGAGGUAAUGGCCCACCAAGACUAUUACAGGUACGGGCUCUGAGAGGAGUAGCCCGGAGAUGGGUACUGAGACACGGACCCAGGCCCUAUGGGGCGCAGCAGGCGAGAAAACUUUGCAAUGUGCGAAAGCACGACAAGGUUAAUCCGAGUGGUUUCUGCUAAAGGAACCUUUUGUUAGUCAUAGAACCACUAAUGAAUAAGGGGUGGGCAAGUUCUGGUGUCAGCCGCCGCGGUAAAACCAGCACCUCAAGUGGUCAGGAUGAUUAUUGGGCCUAAAGCAUCCGUAGCCUGCUUUGUAAGUUUUCGGUUAAAUCCAUACGCUCAACGUAUGGGCUGCCGGGAAUACUGCAUAGCUAGGGAGUGGGAGAGGUAGACGGUACUCGGUAGGAAGGGGUAAAAUCCUUUGAUCUAUUGAUGACCACCUGUGGCGAAGCGGUCUACCAGAACACGUCCGACGGUGAGGGAUGAAAGCUGGGGGAGCAAACCGGAUUAGAUACCCGGGUAGUCCCAGCUGUAAACUAUGCAAA